GAGGAAAAGAAACUAACAAGGAUUCCCCUAGUAACUGCGAGUGAAGCGGGAAAAGCUCAAAUUUAAAAUCUGGCGGUCUUUGGCUGUCCGAGUUGUAAUCUAGAGAAGUGUUGCCCGCGCUGGACCGUGUACAAGUCUCCUGGAAUGGAGCGUCAUAGAGGGUGAGAAUCCCGUCUCUGACACGGACUCCCAGGGCUUUGUGGUACGCUCUCAAAGAGUCGAGUUGUUUGGGAAUGCAGCUCAAAAUGGGUGGUAAAUUCCAUCUAAAGCUAAAUAUUGGCGAGAGACCGAUAGCGAACAAGUACCGUGAGGGAAAGAUGAAAAGAACUUUGGAAAGAGAGUUAAACAGUACGUGAAAUUGCUGAAAGGGAAACGCUUGAAGUCAGUCACGUUGGCUGGGAAUCAGCCUCGCUCUUUUGCGUGGUGUACUUUCUGGUUGAUGGGUCAGCAUCAAUUUUGACCGCUGGAAAAAGGCUUGAGGAAUGUGGCAGCUUCGGCUGUGUUAUAGCUUCAUGUCACAUACAGCGGUUGGGAUUGAGGAACUCAGCACGCCGCAAGGCCGGGUCUUUGACCACGUUCGUGCUUAGGAUGCUGGCAUAAUGGCUUUAAGCGACCCGUC
RNAcentral lists this ribosomal RNA (619 nucleotides) under Neosericeomyces sericatellus. Its description in RNAcentral is "Leucocoprinus sericifer eukaryotic LSU rRNA". It matches the Rfam family "Eukaryotic large subunit ribosomal RNA", at positions 53 to 653 of the family's 3401-position model. Lineage: Eukaryota; Fungi; Basidiomycota; Agaricomycetes; Agaricales; Mycenaceae. The record is from RNAcentral.